GACGAACGCUGGCGGCGCGCCUAACACAUGCGAGUCGAACGGAGCUGCGAGAAGCUUGCUUUUCUUAGCUUAGUGGCGAACGGGUGAGUAACGCGUGAGUAACCUGCCCUGGAGUGGGGGACAACAGUUGGAAACGACUGCUAAUACCGCAUAAGCCCACGAUCCGGCAUCGGAUUGAGGGAAAAGGAUUUAUUCGCUUCAGGAUGGACUCGCGUCCAAUUAGCUAGUUGGUGAGGUAACGGCCCACCAAGGCGACGAUUGGUAGCCGGACUGAGAGGUUGAACGGCCACAUUGGGACUGAGACACGGCCCAGACUCCUACGGGAGGCAGCAGUGGGGGAUAUUGCACAAUGGGGGAAACCCUGAUGCAGCGACGCCGCGUGGAGGAAGAAGGUUUUCGGAUUGUAAACUCCUGUCGUUAGGGACGAUAAUGACGGUACCUAACAAGAAAGCACCGGCUAACUACGUG
Molecule: ribosomal RNA, 468 nt
Filed under: uncultured bacterium
Lineage: Bacteria
Description: partial 16S ribosomal RNA
Rfam family: Bacterial small subunit ribosomal RNA
Source: RNAcentral